UGGGGUGUCGUCAAGUGGUUAAGACACGGGACUUUGGAUCCUGGAUCGGGGGUUCGAAUCCUCCCACCCCAGCAA
RNAcentral lists this transfer RNA (75 nucleotides) under bacterium. Its description in RNAcentral is "tRNA-Gln". It matches the Rfam family "tRNA". Rfam says of the family: Transfer RNA (tRNA) molecules are approximately 80 nucleotides in length. Their secondary structure includes four short double-helical elements and three loops (D, anti-codon, and T loops). The record is from RNAcentral.